CCCUGGUCUAAAGUAGCACACUAUAUAGGGAAUAGGGUUCCAUAGGUCCCUGGUCUAAAGUAGCACACUAUAUAGGGAAUAGGGUUCCAUAGGUCCCUGGUCUAAAGUAGCACACUAUAUAGGGAAUAGGGUGCCGUUUGGAGCACAGGCUUAUUCUGUGGUGUGCUAGAAUGUAAAUGUGAUUUCUUGUGUAUUCAGGUGUUCUCUCUGGCCCCGUUUAUACCUGGUGGUUUGUUCUGAUCUCUCUGGCCCCGUUUAUACCCGGUGCUUUGUUCUGAUCUCUCUGGCCCCGUUUAUACCUGGUGGUUUGUUCUGAUCUCUCUGGCCCCGUUUAUACCUGGUGGUUUGUUCUGAUCUCUCUGGCCCCGUUUAUACCCGGUGCUUUGUUCUGAUCUGCUCUACAUUCUGAUUGUGCCCAUAUUUACAGAAAUAUGUCUACACAAAGUAUUAAAAGUGUCUGUUAUCCAUCCACUGUCUGCAUUGUGACCACAUUUCCUGGUCCCUUCAUUUAGGCAAAUUAUUUCAAAGCUAUCCGUUCAAAAUAAUAUUUAUUUAUUGACACAAAUGUAAUCAAUCAAUGGUGCAACAUGUCAACGAUUGUAGGGGCCUAGAAUAUUUAUGAUUUAAAUGUUUUUUCUGUCCAGAUCUGUCUACACUUGUACAAUAUCCAGACACAAUGUGUGUCUGACUACCUCUAGAGGUGAUCAGGAAGAUCUGAUCACAAUGUGUGUCUGACUACCUCUAGAGGUGAUCAGGAAGAUCUGAUCACAAUGUGUGUCUGACAACCUCUAGAGGUGAUCAGGACGAUCUGAUCACAAUGUGUCCUUUGUUUUGUCUACAUCGGUCCAAAAAAGAAAUGUGGACAAGAUCAGGACAAAGGACGCAUGUUAGAACCAGAUAUAAACAGGGCUUCCGUGAGAGGAAAGAGACGGGAUGCGUUUAGUGAAUUCACCCCUAGGGGGCAGCCUCUGCAUUGAGAAGUGAUAACCAUCCUAAGUUAAGAGACAUCACUUUGUCAAUCACAACAUUUCACUUGACCUCUUGUAUUUUAAAGAACAUCGUUUUCCAUUCCCGCUGUACCUUUUGUAGAAAUCUUAACGACUAAACAAAAACAACAACCAGACGUCAUGGUUUCUGCAGAACCAGUUCCUCCACAUUUCAGCCUGUCAUCCAGAACCUUCCAGCUGACCAGGAAACAACACAACUUUCCAGGUUGAAGCUCACUGGACGCAGUAACAAAAAUAAGAAGACUGUAUAAAAGGUUUUUAAAUGAGGAACAUAUGUUGGUUUAUUUCUCAGGACGUUUCACUAUGAAAAUACAGUGCCUUCAGAAAGUAUUCAUACCCCUUGACUUAUUCCAUGUUUUGUAACAGCCUGAAUUCCAAGUUGAUUUGAGGCUGGUGAGAGGGGAGGACGGCUCAUAAUAAUGUCUGGAAUGGAGCCAACGGAACGGUACCAAACACAUGUUAAUUACGUUGCAGCAUCACAAUGAGCCAUUAAAGUGCCAGCAGCAAUACCUGAGUAGAACAGAGCAGGGGGAGAGUAGCAGAGAUGCUGUACAGGUCUGUAGUUAGAGAUGCUGUAUAGUUGUGUAGGUAGAGAUGCUGUGUUGUUGUGUAGGUAGAGAUGCUGUAUAGGUCUGUAGGUAGAGAUGCUGUAUAGGUCUGUAGGUAGAGAUGCUGUAUAGGUCUGUAGGUAGAGAUGCUGUAUAGGUCUGUAGGUAGAGAUGCUGUAUAGGUCUAUAGGUAGAGAUGCUGUAUCGGUCUGUAGGUAGAGAUGCUGUAUAGGUCUGUAGGCAGAGAUGCUGUAUAGUUGUGUAGAUAGAGA
Long non-coding RNA from Oncorhynchus tshawytscha (Chinook salmon), 1827 nucleotides. Lineage: Eukaryota; Metazoa; Chordata; Actinopteri; Salmoniformes; Salmonidae. The record is from Ensembl.